CCUACGGGUGGCAGCAGUGAGGAAUAUUGGGCAAUGGGCGAGAGCCGGAACCAGCCAAGUCGCGUGAAGGAUGACGGCCCUACGGGUUGUAAACGUCGGUUGUCAGGGAGCAAGGGAGGCCACGUGUGGGCUUAGCGAGAGGACCUGAAGAAAAAGCAGCGGCUAACUCCGUGCCCGCAGCCGCGGUAAUAAGGAGGAUGCGAGCGUUAGCCGGAUUUAUUGGGUUGAAAGGGUGCGUAGGCGGAAUAUCAAGUCAGCGGUAAAAAUUCGGGGCUCAACCCGGUCGUGCCGUGGAAACGGCUGUUCUUGCGUGGGCGAGAAGUAUGCGGAAUGCGUGUUGUAGCGGUGACCUGCUUAGCUAUCACGCAGAACUCCGAUUGCGAAGGCAGCAUACCGGCGCCCACCUGCCGCUGAAGCACGAACGCGUGGGUAUCGAACAGGAUUAGAUACCCUAGUAUUC
Molecule: ribosomal RNA, 460 nt
Filed under: uncultured bacterium
Lineage: Bacteria
Description: partial 16S ribosomal RNA
Rfam family: Bacterial small subunit ribosomal RNA
Source: RNAcentral